UGCUAUGGCGGCUGUGUGUGGGACGCCCUAGGGCGUGCCGGUUGCUGUUCCGGUUGACCAACCCGCAUACAGUCCGCCACCUAU
This 84-nucleotide non-coding RNA is filed under the name Pseudomonas sp. LAMO17WK12:I9. Lineage: Bacteria; Pseudomonadati; Pseudomonadota; Gammaproteobacteria; Pseudomonadales; Pseudomonadaceae. RNAcentral also lists the same sequence under 1 other name. The record is from RNAcentral.